This 442-nucleotide ribosomal RNA is filed under the name Chromolaichma sedna. RNAcentral describes it as "Doriprismatica sedna partial 16S ribosomal RNA". It matches the Rfam family "Archaeal large subunit ribosomal RNA", at positions 1918 to 2666 of the family's 2987-position model. Lineage: Eukaryota; Metazoa; Mollusca; Gastropoda; Nudibranchia; Chromodorididae. The record is from RNAcentral.
AGCUUUAGGAAUAGAUCUAAGGUUAUACCUGCCCAAUGUUAACAUUAAUGGCCGCGGUACUUUGACCGUGCUAAGGUAGCACAAUCAAUUGGCUCUUAAUUAGGGUCAGGAAUGAAUGGAGUUACGGAGUUCAGCUGUCUCUUAGUUAAUCAAUUGAAGUUACUAUGUAGGUGAAAAAGCCUAUAACUAGAAAAAGGACGAGAAGACCCUAAGAGUUUUGCUUAGUAUGGUAAUAAAAAUUAUUCACAAUGGUUUAGUUGGGGCAACAUGGGAGCAGAAAGAAAAUCUCCUUAAUAUAAUUAACCGAUAUUAUUAAAUUUGGAUAAACUACCUUAGGGAUAACAGCAUUAUUUAAAAAAUAAGUUUGUGACCUCGAUGUUGGACUAGGAAACUUAAAGGCUAGCCGUCUUUAAGGGAAGUUCUGUUCGAACUAAUUAUUCCU